Molecule: non-coding RNA, 3077 nt
Organism: Meleagris gallopavo (turkey)
Lineage: Eukaryota; Metazoa; Chordata; Aves; Galliformes; Phasianidae
Source: RefSeq, a predicted model, not a curated record
UCUCCAUACCAGAUGGGCACGUAACAGCCGCGGGCACAGCCUGCCAUGGUUCUCACUCCCAUGGCAGUCUCCAUCCUGCACUGCACAGCUAUGGAGUAAUGCAAACAGAACACACCACGAGUCAUUUCCAAGCUCACGCCAGUCAGCAUUUAUCGCAGCACAGAAGUGUCUGAUGUGACUACAAACAUCAGUGAGCGGACCUGAAGGCAAUCUGAAGUCUGGAGAAGCGCAAAUAAGAGGUUAACAGCUUAUACCCCUCUUCACUGAUUUGCCUUAGCUUAGUCCCGUGGACAUACACGUGAGCUACUGAUGACUGAUUCUCAUUGGCACGAGGUGUUCACCGAAAAGACUGAGAAACCCAAACCCAAGUGAGUGUCGGUAGGCAAGAAGUGAUGUGGAACAGAGAGAGGACAAGCAGACAUCCUUUACUCUUAAGGAUCUGUUGCCAAUUUUUGGGAACCUCUGGGUCAUGAGCAGCAGAACUUUCUCCUCCCUGACCCCACAUCUGCCCUGGGCAGAGCUGAGCACCCAAGCAGCCAUGUGCUGCCAACAAGGGCAGCAGGCAUGCUGGCCUGGGUCACUUCAGCAGCUUUGACCAAACUACCUGCAAACCGUGACAUGAAAUAAAUCCCAUGAAUGAAGGUCUUGACCGCUCCCCUUGUUCUCCAGAUACCCAAAAAUAGAUCAGCGAAGAAAUGAUUAACCACGACCCAGAGGGCAAGAGCCUGCCCUCCAGGCUGAGAGCUACUUUCACUAACACCAGGGCCUCCUCUUCCUCGUGCACGAGCUCCCAUCCCACCCUGCACACAGCAGGGCUGCUGCUGCAGAGCGGCUGUCCGAAUCCUGACCCCACCAGAGCAGCUGCAGGCAGUCCCAAAAAGGACAGAGGUGGAUUUACUUGCUGCUCAAUCUCUGCAAGCCUUUUAUUACCAGCAUCACGGGACGUCAUUUAAACAUUAUUUUUAUUUACACCUUAAUCGAAGUAAAUAUGCAAACAGCUUCUAUAAAUUUUAUCAAACAGACAGGAGAGGGAGCUCUCUCUUCAUCCCACUAGAUUAUGAAUGGAUUUUGCUGAACGUAUUAAAACCUAACCACAUUUUUAUUCUAUGUCACAUGUUAUUUCUUGUCCUUCUUUUGUCCUGGGACCGUCUCCUCUCAGCAAACAACUUUGUAACACGAAACAUUGCUGUGUACCACAGAACAUUUUUUUGGACGAAUGCAGUAAGCACAUUUUGAAGGCACUUUAAUUUUGGUAUAGGAAAAAAUGAGGAUAUAAUUCCUAUUUACAAAAUUCUUCUUCCCUACUUACUGAUACAUAUACAGUCAUACAGCGUGCUCUGCACAUCUGUCUGCAUCAAAAGUGCACUUCUUUAAUAUCCAAAUUAAAGUACUAAGUGAUUCUUUUAACUAACCACCAUCAUUAAUAUGCUCACGGAUCUUUUGUAUUUAUCCUGAGAUCUAUCACACCAACCUGAGAUUUCUGGCAGACCUGUGUGCAGUUUGAAGGCAAAUCCCUGAAAUAUCGAAUUCAGAAGAAAUGCAUACAAGUGAAUAAGCCACAGCUAAAAUAGAUCCAGGACAAAAGAAAGUCACACCAAUCUUACUGCCUGCGUGUUCUCAUUGUGUUUAUUUGAAAUCUUACUGUAAUAUGAUCUUCAUUCGAAAUUCUGAAAAAAAGCAAAAAUGGACAGCAGAAAUGCUUGUAUCAGCAUCCAGAUAUAAUGCUAAAAAUCAAACUGUGAGUUACAUCUGUCUCGUAAAGGCUAUAUAAUAAGAUUUACUUAAUCCAUUUGAAAGAAAAAAAAUGUUUUUGUCCCCCAAUUUGUUGCGACAUCUGAAAGUUCAUGAGGUUAUGACCCCUCCUUAAGAAAGCAUCUUCUACCACCUGCAAAUACCCCAGGAAAGCAGUCUGAAACAAUAAAACACGUGCUAGUUAACCGUUACCCGGGCAACGGUUAUGCUUCAGCAAUGGGAGGUUUCAGCCCCACGGUGGCUUUGUCUAAAGAAGACAUGGCCCAGCUGUUACCGAAUAACCAUUGUUGUAGAUCAUCGGGAAAUAACAGUCAACACGAGCUGAGCCCUGUGGAAGUUUCUAUUCUCUUCAGCAUCAGAGGUACAGCUGAGUAAAAGGACAGAAAAGCAGGCAGUUUACUACAUAACACAAAAUACGAUAGUAGUAAAGACGGUAAGCUGACCCUUCAAUAGUAACUCAUCCUGGAGCGUGUACAAAUCGAUUGCCUUUCCACUUCCAGGACGAUGACUGUUCUCAUGCAAUAACCUCAAUACCCUAGAUGACAAAUACUGAAAUUAUUAAUUAACCAGAGUAUCAGAAAGUUCCAGAACUGAGGACGAAGUCAUCCUUUGUGCUUACAAGUGAAUCAGCAUGCAAAGCCCUUUUUUUAUUCCUUGCAUCAAAAGGACACUUGCUCACGCAGCAACAGAUUGGUCUCCUGUGCAAUAGGGAUGAACAAUAGUCAAUUUUAUUGUCUUGAAACACAGUAUCACUGCUUUCAGUCAAAACUUCCAUUUCCCUUUGAGAAGGACUUUGGCUGACUAUAUUGGUUAGUUUGUAGAAGAGACUGAAUAAUUUAAGAGGGAUGUUUUGCAGGUUUUGUCAGUUGGGUUUUGCCCUUUUGUUUGCUUUAAACAGGACUGUCAAACCCUAGACCCUGGUCAGUCAGUGCAGAGCUUUCAGUAACAGCAACACGCCAAGAGUUCGUUCUGCUAUUUAUGAGAGGUAUCCUGCAUUUCAUAUCAGCCCACUCACUUCACAAAGCUACACGAGAGGCUGCAGUAAGAUGGUGCUGUGCUGUACAGUGCUCCUCCAUCCACUGUGCAAAGCCCCCCAGCAGCUGCCAGGAGAGGCCACACCUGUACAGAAGCUGAUGCGUAACCACGCAAAGGCUGCACUGACACCAAGAUAUUUCAUAAUCUCCAUUUUAUUUAUUCUAAGCAAAAUGCAAGCUGAUUUCUUCAAUACUGAAAGGUGAGGCAAGCAGAAAAUGUGACUCUGUGUGUUGCAAUCACAGAAUCGUUAGGGUUAGAAGGGAUCUUUAAAGGCCAACUAAUCCAACCCU